This is a long non-coding RNA of Bos indicus x Bos taurus (hybrid cattle), 434 nucleotides long. The record is from Ensembl. NCBI's taxonomy places the organism in Eukaryota, Metazoa, Chordata, Mammalia, Artiodactyla, Bovidae.
GCCCUGAGCCCUGGGAGCGACCGGCCCGGCCCUGGCGUCUGCUAGGGAGUGAGGGGGCUGGGACGGCCGAGGGGUCCCGCCGCCCCGAGAGCCGGGGGACAGUCACCGCAGCCUCUGACGGGAAGGCCGCCCCGGGGAGGAAGGUGGCCAGCGUCGCUCAUCAUCCCUCUCUGCUCAGAGCCGAACCGCCUUCCUGGCAUCUGAUGACCGCGAAGGGUGAGCUGAAUAGGAAAGCAGUGGGUGCAGUACAGCUGUGUUAAGAGAGACAAGACCGGCAGCAUUGGCAACUGGCAACUUCUGUUUUCCAAAGAGGUACUGGUGUGUGAUCUGAAACUACAAGAACUUACCUUGCUAAAGAUCUCUUCCAUCAUCACUUGAAGUCAAGAUUUACGAAUACUAAUAAAAUAUGAGAUUUUCCAUGAAAAUUGUAAUGU